UACGUAGGGGGCAAGCGUUAUCCGGAUUUACUGGGUGUAAAGGGGGCGUAGACGGCGAUGCAAGCCAGAUGUGAAAGCCCGGGGCUCAACCCCGGGACUGCAUUUGGAACUGUGUGGCUGGAGUGUCGGAGAGGCAAGUGGAAUUCCUAGUGUAGCGGUGAAAUGCGUAGAUAUUAGGAGGAACACCAGUGGCGAAGGCGGCUUGCUGGACGAUGACUGACGUUGAGGCUCGAAAGCGUGGGGAGCAAACAGG
Molecule: ribosomal RNA, 253 nt
Filed under: uncultured bacterium
Lineage: Bacteria
Description: partial 16S ribosomal RNA
Rfam family: Bacterial small subunit ribosomal RNA
Source: RNAcentral